Molecule: ribosomal RNA, 457 nt
Filed under: uncultured bacterium
Lineage: Bacteria
Description: partial 16S ribosomal RNA
Rfam family: Bacterial small subunit ribosomal RNA
Source: RNAcentral
CAUACGGGUGGCUGCAGUGGGGAAUAUUGCACAAUGGCGGAAACCCUGAUGCAGCGACGCCGCGUGAGUGAAGAAGUAUUUCGGUACGUAAAGCUCUAUCAGCCGGGAAGAAAAAAAGUCCUUUGGACUUUGGACGGUACCUGACUAAGAAGCCCCGGCUAAAUACGUGCCAGCAGCCGCGGUAAUAAGUAGGGGGCAAGCGUUAUCCGGAUUUACUGGGUGUAAAGGGAGCGUAGGCGGCAGCGCAAGUCUGGAGGGAAAUGCCGGGGCCCAACCCCGGAACUGCUUUGGAAACUGUGCAGCUGGAGUGCAGGAAGGGUAAGCGGAAUUCCUGGUGUAGCGGUGAAAUGCGUAGAUAUUAGGAGGAACUCCAGUGGCGAAGGCAGCUUACUGGACUGUAACUGACGUUGAGGCUCGAAAGCGUGGGGAGCAAACAGGAUUAGAUACCCGUGUAGUC